GAGUUUGAUCCUGGCUCAGGGUGAACGCUGGCGGCGCGCUUAAUGCAGCAAGUCGAGCGUGUCCGUGGCUUCGGCCACAAUGGAAAAGCGGCAGACGGCUGAGUAACGCGUGAGUAACUUGCCCUCUGGUGGGGUAUAGCCUCGAGAAAUCGUGGUUAAUCCCGCAUAAGACCUCUAGACCCUGGUCUAGAGAUGAAAGCCUUCGGGCGCCAGAGGAGAGGCUCGCGUCCUAUCAGGUAGUUGGUGGGGUAAUGGCCCACCAAGCCAAUGACGGGUAGCUGGUCUGAGAGGACGACCAGCCAGAGGGGGACUGAGAACGGCCCCCACUCCUACGGGAGGCAGCAGCAGGGAAUCUUGGGCAAUGGGCGAAAGCCUGACCCAGCGACGUCGCGUGGAGGAUGAAGGCUCUAGGGCUGUAAACUCCUUUUCCAAGGGAAGAGUACUCGGCUUCGAAUAGGAGACCGAGGGUGACGGUACCCCCAGAGGAAGCACCGGCUAACUCCGUGCCAGCAGCCGCGGUAAUAC
This 525-nucleotide ribosomal RNA is filed under the name uncultured bacterium. Its description in RNAcentral is "bacterial SSU rRNA". It matches the Rfam family "Bacterial small subunit ribosomal RNA", at positions 9 to 526 of the family's 1533-position model. The record is from RNAcentral.